AUUAAAGUUGUUGCCGUUAAAAAGCUCGUAGUCGAACUUCGGCCUUUGCCGCCCGGUCCGCCUAUUUGGGCGUGUACUGGAGCGGUGGAGGCUUACCUCGUGGUGAACGGCCAUGCUCUUUACUGGGUGUGGUCGAGAACCAUGAUUUUUACUUUGAAAAAAUUAGAGUGUUCAAAGCAGGCUUACGCCCGAAUACAUUAGCAUGGAAUAAUAAAAUAGGACGUGCGGUUCUAUUUUGUUGGUUUCUAGGAUCGCCGUAAUGAUUAAUAGGGAUAGUUGGGGGCAUUCGUAUUCAAUUGCUAGAGGUGAAAUUCUUGGAUUUAUUGAAGACGAACUACUGCGAAAGCAUUUGCCAAGGAUGUUUUCAUUGAUCAAGAACGAAGGUUAGGGGAUCGAAAACGAUCAGAUACCGUUGUAGUCUUAACAGUAAACGAUGCCGACUAGGGAUCGGACGAGGAUUUUUAAUGACUCGUUCGGCACCUGAAGAGAAAUCUUUAAGUCUAGGUUCGGGGGGGAGUAUGGUCGCAAGGCUGAAACUUAAAGGAAUUGACGGAAGGGCACCACCAGGUGUGGAGCCUGCGGCUUAAUUUGACUCAACACGGGGAAACUCACCAGGUCCAGACACGACAAGGAUUGACAGAUUGAUAGCUCUUUCUUGAUUUCGUGGUUGGUGGUGCAUGGCCGUUCUUAGUUGGUGGAGUGAUUUGUCUGGUUAAUUCCGAUAACGAACGAGACCUUAUCCUGCUAAAUAGCCCGGCCGACUUUGGUUGGUCGCUGGCUUCUUAGAGGGACUAUCAGCGUUUAGCUGAUGGAAGUUUGAGGCAAUAACAGGUCUGUGAUGCCCUUAGAUGUUCUGGGCCGCACGCGCGCUACACUGACCGAACCAGCGAGUUUAUCACCUUGGCCGGAAGGCCUGGGUAAUCUUGUGAAACUCGGUCGUGAUGGGGAUAAAGCAUUGCAAUUAUUGCUUUUCAACGAGGAAUACCUAGUAAGCGUGAGUCAUCAGCUCGCGUUGAAUUCGUCCCUGCCCUUUGUACACACCGCCCGUCGCUACUACCGAUUGAAUGGCUUAGUGAGGCCUUCGGAUUGGCUUUUGGGAGCCGGCAACGGCACCUAAUUGCUGAGAAGUUGUACAAAC
This 1138-nucleotide ribosomal RNA is filed under the name Symmetrospora oryzicola. RNAcentral's name for it is "SSU rRNA". It matches the Rfam family "Eukaryotic small subunit ribosomal RNA", at positions 603 to 1764 of the family's 1831-position model. The record is from RNAcentral. Lineage: Eukaryota; Fungi; Basidiomycota; Cystobasidiomycetes; Symmetrosporaceae.